This 809-nucleotide ribosomal RNA is filed under the name fungal endophyte. RNAcentral's name for it is "eukaryotic LSU rRNA". The stretch from base 494 to 809 matches the Rfam family "Eukaryotic large subunit ribosomal RNA", at positions 1 to 322 of the family's 3401-position model. The record is from RNAcentral. Lineage: Eukaryota; Fungi.
UGCUGGAACGCGCCUCGGCGCACCCAGAAACCCUUUGUGAACUUAUACCUUAUUGUUGCCUCGGCGAAGGCCAGCCUCUCUUCUGAGGCCCCCCGGAGACGGGGAGCAGCCCGCCGGCGGCCAACCAAACUCUUGUUUCUUAGUGAAUCUCUGAGUAAAAAACAUAAAUGAAUCAAAACUUUCAACAACGGAUCUCUUGGUUCUGGCAUCGAUGAAGAACGCAGCGAAAUGCGAUAAGUAAUGUGAAUUGCAGAAUUCAGUGAAUCAUCGAAUCUUUGAACGCACAUUGCGCCCUCUGGUAUUCCGGAGGGCAUGCCUGUUCGAGCGUCAUUUCAACCCUCAAGCCUGGCUUGGUGUUGGGGCACUGCCUUGGAGACAAGGCAGGCCCUGAAAUCUAGUGGCGAGCUCGCUAGGACCCCGAGCGUAGUAGUUAUAUCUCGUUCUGGAAGGCCCUGGCGGUGCCCUGCCGUUAAACCCCCAACUUCUGAAAUUUUGACCUCGGAUCAGGUAGGAAUACCCGCUGAACUUAAGCAUAUCAAUAAGCGGAGGAAAAGAAACCAACAGGGAUUGCCCUAGUAACGGCGAGUGAAGCGGCAACAGCUCAAAUUUGAAAUCUGGCCUCGGCCCGAGUUGUAAUUUGCAGAGGAUGCUUCUGGCGCGGUGCCUUCCGAGUUCCCUGGAACGGGACGCCACAGAGGGUGAGAGCCCCGUAUGGUCGGACACCAAGCCUGUGUGAAGCUCCUUCGACGAGUCGAGUAGUUUGGGAAUGCUGCUCUAAAUGGGAGGUAAAUCUCUUCUAAAGCUAAAUA